UCCUCAUAAAAUAUUAUUAAAAAUCUCUGAUAAAUUUGUAGUUAAGACACCAUAGCGCAGGCCAUCAUCAUGUGCCAAUAUCCAUUUCUCCUUUUCUAUCUCGGACAACCAGCUCCAAGCCUCUUCAUUCACUGUUCUGAUCCUACCCAUUACUUGAUGAAUACUUCCUGCUUGCCAUACUGCUCUUUUUAGUUGCACAUUUUUAAAAUGAGUGUUGAAAUUACUGCAGAUAUGUCUUAAGC
Molecule: long non-coding RNA, 242 nt
Filed under: Elaeis guineensis (African oil palm)
Lineage: Eukaryota; Viridiplantae; Streptophyta; Magnoliopsida; Arecales; Arecaceae
Description: long non-coding RNA (EGUI_LNC008107)
Source: RNAcentral